UCUAAUGGAACUCUUUUCAUUGUUUCUCAAAGUUUAUAAAUUUACAGCACACAAAAGAAAGUUAAGUACAUUAACAGAUACCUCAAAAGUUCUCAUUUUUAAUGUGUUUCCUAUUAAGUUCAAUAAAUGGCAUUUAGCUAUUGAUGUGGAAGCUGUAGAAGAAAAGUGAAACUCCAUUUAUAUUCCUACCUACAGAUAGUUCUCAUCCAUAAAGACAAGGUCAUUGUCUUUGACCCACAAUCUUAGCUUUGAGCAGGAAACACACGGAGAAUCAAUAGAAUGGUGACUGUCUGGGUGAAUAGUGCAGUAUAAAUUUUGGAAUUACAGCCACAAUAGAAUACCCCUGGAUCCAUAGAUUCUUUCCUUUUAAAAUCAAAUUUAAUUAUAUCAGUAUAGUCUAAAUCAGGACAAUUUGAUGAUAUCAUUUAAAAAGAAUAUGCUUCUCAAGGUACCAAUAUUUCUUAUAAUCUAACACCAUAGAUUCAAAGUUCAUCUUUCCGUACUGCUAGGGAGUUAACCGGGGGCCUUAUGCAUGAUAGGCAAGUGCUCUACCACUGAGCUUACAUCUCCAGCCUUAAAGUUCAUUUUUAAAGUGUGGUAAAGAGAGGGUUUUCGUAUAACAACAAAGAUGUAGAAGGAAAUGAGCAAAAUGAGGAUAGAGUUCUAGUAAAAGCAAGGGUAUGACAUGCACCUAAUUCAAAGACUUUUCUCCAGUUUCUGCUACCCCCUUGAGGAUGAAAAUUUUACCAAAGGACAGAGGAUCCCUAAGAUGAAACCAUAGAUUCAUCCA
RNAcentral lists this long non-coding RNA (790 nucleotides) under Marmota monax (woodchuck). Lineage: Eukaryota; Metazoa; Chordata; Mammalia; Rodentia; Sciuridae. The record is from RNAcentral.